This 1307-nucleotide ribosomal RNA is filed under the name metagenome. RNAcentral's name for it is "SSU rRNA". It matches the Rfam family "Eukaryotic small subunit ribosomal RNA", at positions 32 to 1325 of the family's 1831-position model. The record is from RNAcentral.
UUGUCUCAAAGAUUAACCCAUGCAUGUCUAAGAAUAAAUAUCUUUAUUCUGUGAAUCUGCGCACAGCUCAUUAUAUCAGCAAUGAUUUAUUUGAUGGUACCUUGCUACAUGGAUACCCGUAGUAAUUCUAGAGCUAAUACAUGCACAAUAUCCCAACUCUCACGGGAAGGGACGUAUUUAUUAGAUCCAAAAUCAUUCCAGCUCUUUGGGCUGGCUCUUUGAUGAAUCAUAAUAACUUUUCGGACCGCAUGGCCUCGCGUCGGCGGCAGUUCAUUCAAAUUUCUGCCCUAUCAACUUUCGACGGUAGUGUAGGGGACUACCGUGGUGUUAACGGGUGACGGAGAAUUAGGGUUUGAAUCCGGAGAGGGAGCCUGAGAAACGGCUACCACAUCCAAGGAAGGCAGCAGGGGCGCAAAUUGACCAAUCCUGACACAGGGAGUCAGUGACAAUAAAUAACAAUACCGAGCUUUAUAAGGUUUGGUAAUUGGAAUGAGUACAAUUUAAACACCUUAACGAUGAUCCACUGGAGGGAAAGUCUGGUGCCAGCAGCCGCGGUAAUUCCAGCUCCAGUAGCGUAUAUUAAAGUUGUUGCAGUUAAAAAGCUCGUAGUUGGAUUUCUGAUGCGAUGCGACCGGCCCGCUGGGUUCAUUCCUAUGUUGAGUUGCUGGUACGCGUCCAUCUUCUUUGUGGAGAAGCGUUACUCCCGUUCUGCGGUGUGGUGACGUCGCUCUACAUCUUUUACUUUGAAAAAAUUAGAGUGUUUAAAGCAGGCUUUCGCUUAUGAAUACAUUAGCAUGGAAUAAUAAUAUAGGACUUUGGCCUAUUUAUUGGUUCUGGGUUGAAGUAAUGAUUGAUAGGGAUAGUUGGGGGUGCCUGUAUUAUGCGGUCAGAGGUGAAAUUCUCGGAUUCGCGUAAGACAAACUUAUGCGAAAGCAUUCGCCAAGGAUGUCUUCUUUAAUCAAGAACGAAAGUUGAGGGAUCGAAGACGAUCAGAUACCGUCGUAGUCUCAACCAUAAACUAUACCGACUAAGGAUGAGUGAACGUUGCAUUUUCGACUUCAUUCGCACUUUAUGAGAAAUCAAAGUCUUUGGGUUCCGGGGGGAGUAUGGUCGCAAGGCUGAAACUUAAAGGAAUUGACGGAAGGGCACCACCAGGAAGUGGAGCCUGCGGCUCAAUUUGACCCAACACGGGAAAACUUACCAGGUCCAGACUCUGGAAGGAUUGACAGAUUGAAGAUCUUUCUUAAUUCGGAGGGUGGUGGUGCAUGGGCGUUCACAGUUGGUGGAGUGAUUUGUCUGGUUAAUUC